AUUGAACGCUGGCGGCAGGCCUAACACAUGCAAGUCAAGCGCGAAAAUUCCUUCGGGGAUGAGUAGAGCGGCGGACGGGUGAGUAAUGCGCAGAAAUCUGCCCAGUAGUGGGGGACAACCUGGUGAAAACCAGGCUAAUACCGCAUACGCCCUACGGGGGAAAGCAGGGGAUCUUCGGACCUUGCGCUAUUGGAUGAGUCUGCGUCGGAUUAGCUUGUUGGUGAGGUAAUGGCUCACCAAGGCGACGAUCCGUAGCUGGUCUGAGAGGAUGAUCAGCCACACUGGGACUGAGACACGGCCCAGACUCCUACGGGAGGCAGCAGUGGGGAAUAUUGGACAAUGGGCGAAAGCCUGAUCCAGCCAUGCCGCGUGUGUGAAGAAGGCUCUAGGGUUGUAAAGCACUUUCAGUGGGGAAGAAAGCUUGUUAGCUAAUAACUGACGAGUGUGACAUUACCCACAGAAGAAGCACCGGCUAACUCCGU
Molecule: ribosomal RNA, 482 nt
Filed under: uncultured bacterium
Lineage: Bacteria
Description: bacterial SSU rRNA
Rfam family: Bacterial small subunit ribosomal RNA
Source: RNAcentral